UUUAUUGGAGAGUUUGAUCCUGGCUCAGGAUGAACGCUGGCGGCGUGCCUAAUACAUGCAAGUCGAGCGAAUGGAUUAAGAGCUUGCUCUUAUGAAGUUAGCGGCGGACGGGUGAGUAACACGUGGGUAACCUGCCCAUAAGACUGGGAU
RNAcentral lists this ribosomal RNA (150 nucleotides) under Bacillus cereus. RNAcentral describes it as "partial 16S ribosomal RNA". It matches the Rfam family "Bacterial small subunit ribosomal RNA", at positions 1 to 144 of the family's 1533-position model. Lineage: Bacteria; Bacillati; Bacillota; Bacilli; Caryophanales; Bacillaceae. RNAcentral also lists the same sequence under 1 other name. The record is from RNAcentral.